GACGAACGCUGGCGGCGUGCUUAAUACAUGCAAGUCGAACGGGAUGUAGUAAAGGUAAGCCUCGGUAGAAGAAUACGAAUUAGAGUGGUGAACGGGUGAGAAACGCGUGAGCAACCUGCCUACGACGGUGGAAUCGCCGCGGGAGACCGGGAUUAAUACCGCACAACAUUGUACAAACAUAUGUUUCAACGUUCAAAGAUUUAUCAGUCAUAGCUGGCCUGCCGUCUGAUUAGAUAGUUGGUGAGAUAACACCCCACAAAGGCGACGAUCAGUAGACGGUCUGAGAGGAUGAGCGGCCACAUUGGAACUGAGACACGGUCCAGACUCCUACGGGAGGCAGCAGAGGGGAAUAUUGCACAAUGGGGGAAAUCCUGAUGCAGCGACGCCGCGUGAACGAAGAAGGUAGUCGUAACGUAAAGUGCUAGUCUAUGGGAAGAUAAUGACGGUACCAAAGAAGAAAGCACCGGCUAAAUACGUG
Molecule: ribosomal RNA, 478 nt
Filed under: uncultured bacterium
Lineage: Bacteria
Description: partial 16S ribosomal RNA
Rfam family: Bacterial small subunit ribosomal RNA
Source: RNAcentral